ACUGAGUGCCAGGGGUGGGAGGGUUAUGAUUUGUUAUGAGUCUCUCAUUCCCAAUAUGGAACCCAAGUCACCUCUAGACAGACAAUCGUUUUUCUUAUACUUUUGCCUCAUGGAUUUCAAACUAUGCUUCAGGAGAGAGGAAGGAUUCUGAGGCUAGGAAUGAAGUGGCUCUAAUAAUGUGUCGUCUCAAGGAGCUGAAUCAGAAUCCAAAGAGAAGAAGGCUGCCCUCUACACAGUCUCAGAUUCUUAUCCUUGGCUCCCCUGCUUAGAACAUCAAACUGACCUCUGGACUCUGAUAAAUGUAUGAAGAGAGAAGUGGAGCCAACGGGUGGUAAAUUCCAAAGGCCCACAUAGCAUGUCGAAGAAAAUAUAUUUGUUGGCUACAGCUGGCCCCUACGCCACCAGCUGUACAUACGUUAUGGGAGUGAAAUAAUCUGAGGAACCUAAUCGUCAAGUGCUCCACGGGGUCAGGAAAGGUGAGGACUGAAAAACAAGUUUCUUUACAGGUGGCCCCCCACCCCCAUCCCCGUCUCAAGGCUCAGAAUACCAUCUUCAGCAUGAAGAAAAUGCCACUAUCACUAUUUCAGGACAGUGGUCCACUGAGGAAACAAAUAUUUCUGCCUGGUGACACAGUCCUUACCAGUACUCCAGGACAUCUCAGUGGCAUUACCUUCCGCAUUUCCCCCCAAAACAAAAAUAAGGCUGCCCAGUAUUGGGAGUUGCUUGACCAAUAAAAUCUUAUCACUGCAACACUCAA
Molecule: long non-coding RNA, 757 nt
Filed under: Equus caballus (horse)
Lineage: Eukaryota; Metazoa; Chordata; Mammalia; Perissodactyla; Equidae
Description: lncRNA (ENSECAG00000051164.1)
Source: RNAcentral